AAUUUUGGACAAUGGGGGCAACCCUGAUCCAGCCAUCCCGCGUGUGCGAUGAAGGCCUUCGGGUAGUAAAGCACUUUUGGCAGGGAAGAAACGGCUCUGGCUAAUACCUGGAGCUACUGACGGCACCGGCAGAAUAAACACCGGCUAACUACGUGCCAGCAGCCGCGGGAAGACGUAGGGUGCAAGCGUUAAUCGGAAUUACUGGGCGUAAAGCGUGAGCAGGCGGUUUGGCAAGAAGGAUGUGAAAUCCCAGGGCUUAACCUUGGAACUGCAUUCUUAACUGCCAGGCUAGAGUAUGUCAGAGGGGGGUAGAAUUCCACGUGUGGCAGUGAAAUGCGUAGAGAUGUGGAGGAAUACCGAUGGCGAAGGCAGCCCCCUGGGAUAAUACUGACGCGCAGACACGAAAGCGUGGGGAGCAAACAGG
Molecule: ribosomal RNA, 424 nt
Filed under: uncultured bacterium
Lineage: Bacteria
Description: partial 16S ribosomal RNA
Rfam family: Bacterial small subunit ribosomal RNA
Source: RNAcentral